Molecule: ribosomal RNA, 247 nt
Filed under: uncultured bacterium
Lineage: Bacteria
Description: partial 16S ribosomal RNA
Rfam family: Bacterial small subunit ribosomal RNA
Source: RNAcentral
UACGUAGGCAGCGAGCGUUGUUCGGAAUUACUGGGCGUAAAGGGCUCGUAGGCGGCCAACUAAGUCAUACGUGAAAUCCCCCGGCUUAACCGGGGAACUGCGUCUGAUACUGGAUGGCUUGAGUUCGGGAGAGGGAGUGCGGAAUUCCAGGUGUAGCGGUGAAAUGCGUAGAGUAUCUGGAGGAACACCGGUGGCGAAGGCGGCAUCCUGGACCGAUACUGACGCUGAGGAGCGAAAGCCAGGGGAG